GGUAUCGUGGCGCAAUGGUAGCGCGUUGGCUUCCGGAGCUGGUACUUGCCAAAGGCUGCAGGUUCGAGUCCUGCCGAUAUCG
Ascodesmis nigricans is the source of this 82-nucleotide non-coding RNA. Lineage: Eukaryota; Fungi; Ascomycota; Pezizomycetes; Pezizales; Ascodesmidaceae. The record is from the annotation of a GenBank genome assembly.